CCGGGCUGCUCGGCGUGGCCGGGGUGGCGCUGGUGGUGCUGCGGCCGCAGUCGGCCGGGUUCGACGCCCUGGGCCUGGUC
RNAcentral lists this transfer RNA (80 nucleotides) under Catellatospora sp. TT07R-123. RNAcentral's name for it is "tRNA-Thr". Lineage: Bacteria; Bacillati; Actinomycetota; Actinomycetes; Micromonosporales; Micromonosporaceae. The record is from RNAcentral.